Gallus gallus (chicken) is the source of this 3212-nucleotide long non-coding RNA. The record is from Ensembl. NCBI's taxonomy places the organism in Eukaryota, Metazoa, Chordata, Aves, Galliformes, Phasianidae.
ACACAAUGGCCUUUCCUUUCUCUAAACGUCCCUUUGAGAUGGGCCUCUUGCAGCUCUCCUCUCUUCCCAGAACAAGAGAACAAAUACCAGGAAAUCUGGAGAGAUGAACUGCAUGGAGCUGGCUGCGGUGCAGGAGCGUGGAGCAGCCCCAUCUUUCUCAUAGCUCUGCUGCUGGCUGGUCCCCAGCCGGAGGCCAGGUAAACCUCCAGCCAGGAAGGAUGGUCCCUCUGCUGCUGGCAGUUUUCUGCUGAGGCCCUCAGACUCCUUCCUGAGUCUCUGCAUGUCUGCCAGAGCUAUCAUGUCCCUGCGAGAGCAUUUGCCCACCACAUCAGAUAACCCCUCCUUCAUUCCUCUGACAGGAUCCAGUCUUCUAUUAUUUACUGAUGUCACUGUAGCCUAGGAGAGAAAUCAACACAGUCAUGAAUUAUGGACAAUGCUGGUAGGACAUUUCACUCUGAUUGUUUGAUUUGAGUGUGAACAAACACCAGAUAAUUAAAGAUGAGUUCAAGCUACAACACUCACUUCUGUCUCCUGAAUUGCCCUGCGUGGUGAGAAGUGUCUGGAUUGAGUGCAUAAUUACAAAGGGAAGAUCCUUCAGCAAAACCAGCCAGUAGGUCUGAGUUGAGAAAGUACUGAGGAGCUCUUCUUCAUAGACCCAAACUACAGCACUCCACGUUCUCCUUGACAUAGUCAAACGCAAGUGAACUUUUGCCUGCCCUCCAAGUUUAUAGCUUGUAUUGCUGGUUGCAAAGCUGAGAGAAUUAAACAUGUUGACUUUGGGUCUGGAGGACUCCUUAGCUUGGGUGUUUGAGCUUUAGCUCAUCGUUUUGAACUCCUGGACAUCACACUGGUGAAUGCUGGCUUUGCUGUCGGAUGAAGGCCACAGCUGGCAGCCAAACAUUUGACCUGGGGAGCAAAGCCCAUUACUGUGUGACUCACAGGGUAAAAUCAACAACAACAAAAGCCUUAUAAACACAGCCCAACUCAACUGCUCUGUAAAAUGCCACUACGGCAGCAGCAGCACGGAGCAGUAUUUUUACCACUUGGGAGGAAAGAAGGCUUUCUUUCCUCCCAGGAAACCUUUUUGGGUGUGACAUUAAACAAGCACUUGUUCCUAGAAGCUGCAGAUUUGGCUUAAAGAACACUGGAACUGAGCUGGGGUGAUUGUUACUCAGCACCUGAAUUGCACUGAUGCCUGUGACUCCUCUCACAGUGUAUGUACCAAGUGCUGCUGCAUGGCACACAUCGUGGCCUGGGUGGACAACUCAGUCCCCAGGGAAGUGUCGAGCAACUCCCCUGGCAUUGAUGAAACCCACAGGAAAGCCACUUGAGGUGGGGAGAAGCGUUCUUCAUGCUGGUUGGUUCACAUUUUACGUGCAGUUGUAAAAUUUAAGAGGUCAUUUAGUAUGCAAUCAGCAGAUAGAGUAAGGCAUUUUUUUUACAUCAGAACAGUAGCAGGCUGUAUCCAGCAACUGAUCGUUAGCUCUGAUGGGCACACGGGGACUCUCCAACCUCAUACAAGGACACUGCAGCCCUUUGGGGAACUUGGAAAUCCUGGUGGCUUCUAGGUCCCCUCCAGCUUUGGUCCUACACACAGGGUGAAGGCACUGAAUGGCAGUCGAUGGCCUGUCCCACCAGAGUCCGGAUGGAAAAUAUGGAUUUCCUUUAAAUGCUCAAGAGAGGGAGUGGACUCUCAGAUGCAGUUGUCCUUGUAAAACAGGGAGACUGAGGACUGCCAGGACUCAGGCUUUCCAUGUAUACACUGACCCUGGUGGUCUGAGCACCAGAUCAGACAUUGCAGCGCCCACCUGGGGCCUUGUGCUUGUGGUAGGCCUGUCCUUCCUUGGAGAUAAAGGGAAUUACAGAUUCAUAGAACCACAGAAUAGAACAUGGAAAGGACCCACAAGGAUCAUCGAGUCCAACUCCUUGCUCCACACAGCACCACCCAAAAUCCAAACCUGAAAGCAUUGUUCACGUGCUCCUUGAAUGCUCGGUCUCCUCUUCUCUGGGCUGAACAAACCAAAGGAUCUCAAUCACCCCUCAUACACCUUGCUUUCCAGACCAUUCUCCACUUUUGCAGCUCUCCCUUGGAGCCUCUGUAGUACUUUUAUGUCCUUAAUAUUAUAUUGUGGUGCCCCAAACUGCUUGCUGUACUCAAGGUGAGGCCACACCAGCAGAGAGUACAGCAGGAGUGCAAAGUAAAGACCCUCUGCACUGCCAUCUCAGAGGAUCCCAUCAUGGAUCAAGAGGAUAAUACUAAAAAAGACUCCAUAACCCACAACUUCUACGUGACACUUUAGUGCAGACCCCUGUCUCCUAUUCGGGCCAGCCCCAGCGUGCCAUCUCCUGCUGCUCCUUCAAAAUGAAGAAGGAUGCUCUUACUGGAGGAUGCUUUCAAGCUCAGGGGCACUUAGAAACCCAAGGUUCAAGGCUGGGAACAAGCUGACAUUGUGCACGGAGGCAGAAGAAAACACAACUAUUGAGGCAUGAGGUGCUCAACUCAGGAACAGCAAUCACUGCUUGUUUGGCUUACGUACAUCCAUUGGGGUUGUCAGGAGUAGGACGUAAGAGCAUGACCAGUGCUGAAAUUCCAAAGUUUUCUGAGUGCUGCAUGGGGGGAAACUCAAAGAGAAGACUUCUUGGAGGACAGUCUUGAAGAACAGAGGCUCCUCUCCAGACUCCAAAGGCUGCUUUGCAAUUUGGAAACCUGGAGAUCCAAAAGCUGCAAACAGCUGGAAGGCAGCACUUGGGGACCUCAACAGGACAGGCACAGCCUCGGGGCAGAGCAGCAUCACCCUCCAACAGCUCACAGGAGGGAUCAUGAAGAGGAGCAGAGCAGCUUUACCCUCAGAAAGAAAAGCAAGACCUGGGCAUGGACUUAUCCAAUGAUUAUUUGCAUGCUCUGAACUGUGAGUUUGGACGGAACCAGCUAUUUCUCUCCCCAGACAUGGCUUGGAAGGAAGCAGUAGAAGGGGGCUGCACCUUAGAAGCAGGCUGGAUGCAGCCACCUUGUUUUCAAAGCCAGGUCAAGUACAUGCAUGCCUCAGGCCCUGCAUAGUUUGCUGGAAGCCUAAAAAUCCCCCCAGUGCUGGGAAAUCAUUGUGAACCUCACAUGCAUGUUGCUGUGGCUUGGCUUAUGUCUGGAGGGAUGUAUCUGGAUGAUUUUGUUGCCUUAAGGACUGAAAUGAGCUAAGGGAAGGCAAGCAUCACUG